ACGUUAUUAGCAUAAAGAAUGUAUCUGACUUCCAAUCAGGGGAUCGUGAUCCGCAAUUCACGAUAACGUA
Molecule: transfer RNA, 70 nt
Filed under: Holothuria scabra
Lineage: Eukaryota; Metazoa; Echinodermata; Holothuroidea; Aspidochirotida; Holothuriidae
Description: tRNA-Gly
Rfam family: tRNA
About the family: Transfer RNA (tRNA) molecules are approximately 80 nucleotides in length. Their secondary structure includes four short double-helical elements and three loops (D, anti-codon, and T loops).
Source: RNAcentral